GAUGAACGCUGGCGGCGUGCUUAACACAUGCAAGUCGAACGGGAUCGGCUGGAGCUUGCUCCGGCCGUGAGAGUGGCGAACGGGUGAGUAAUGCGUGACCGACCUGCCCCAUACACCGGAAUAGCUCCUGGAAACGGGUGGUAAUGCCGGAUGCUCCGACAUGACGCAUGUCGUGUUGGGAAAGAUUCAUCGGUAUGGGAUGGGGUCGCGUCCUAUCAGGUAGUCGGCGGGGUAACGGCCCACCGAGCCUACGACGGGUAGCCGGCCUGAGAGGGCGACCGGCCACAUUGGGACUGAGGUACGGCCCAGACUCCUACGGGAGGCAGCAGUGGGGAAUAUUGCACAAUGGGCGCAAGCCUGAUGCAGCGACGCCGCGUGCGGGAUGACGGCCUUCGGGUUGUAAACCGCUUUUGACUGGGAGCAAGCCCUUCGGGGUGAGU
This 440-nucleotide ribosomal RNA is filed under the name uncultured bacterium. Its description in RNAcentral is "bacterial SSU rRNA". It matches the Rfam family "Bacterial small subunit ribosomal RNA", at positions 28 to 474 of the family's 1533-position model. The record is from RNAcentral.